UUUGUCCCUCACAGUGAAAGGGGUUUAACCAAUAGAUGCACAGAAUCUGUCAUCCUAUCGGAAGUCUCACCUCCUCUCUGUGCUCACCAGGCUCCUGUCUUUCAUCAUCGGCUUGUUCCUCCUGAGAGUCCCGAAUGAAGGGUGAUGCUGGUCCCUAGGAUGAUGGUGACACCCCUGCUGAUCCCACUGUCCCUGUGUGUAUGGAGGGGACAGGCUCAGACUGACAGUACAUCCUCAGAUGAGAGCAGCAGAGCUUACACUGUGCUACUGAAACAGAAUAUGGUUCUGCUGGGCAGCAUCCUCUCCAUCCUGUUUAUUGCAAUGAUCCUGCUGGCUGUGUGUGUGUACAAACCCAUCAGGCGGAGAUAAUAACAGUGGCACCUAGACUUGGACUAGAGCACUGGCAUCAGGAUACCCUUCAUACAGAUACAGGGCAUAUACUGUAUCCUGUCACCUGGAAUAACAUGGCUUGAACUGCCAUUCAACUUGCUGCUAAUAUCUCUUCCAUAAUCCUCCACUUUUUCCUUGGACAUGCUGUACCUCAAAGCAUCAUUUCUGCAUUUAUUUAAGUUCUAAAUCCUUGCGUUUGUAUUUUUGCUUUACAAUAACAUACUGUAUUUCAUUCCAUUAUUGUUGAUCUGUUACGAUUCAAGUUUUCAGUCUGAUACAGUUUAUGGAGAUGACCAGAUGAAUGUAGUGCAGCACUCAGGCCUGUGUCAUAUGAAGCGAGGCCCAAUGUGUUUUAUUGUUGUAGAAAAUAACAGGUUUAUUGUGGCUCUACAAUAAACGAAUAAAGCCGUUCCUUCCUCAGGGACAUUCUCCUGUGCACUGAUAUAAUACGCACUGGGACAUCAGAGGUAUACACGUGGAUUCUCUCUGUAUUAAAUGUACAUUUUGUUUUUUA
Xenopus laevis (African clawed frog) is the source of this 904-nucleotide long non-coding RNA. RefSeq lists it as uncharacterized. The transcript has 2 exons. NCBI's taxonomy places the organism in Eukaryota, Metazoa, Chordata, Amphibia, Anura, Pipidae. The record is from RefSeq and is a predicted model, not a curated record.